Molecule: ribosomal RNA, 512 nt
Filed under: uncultured Desulfobulbus sp.
Lineage: Bacteria; Pseudomonadati; Thermodesulfobacteriota; Desulfobulbia; Desulfobulbales; Desulfobulbaceae
Description: bacterial SSU rRNA
Rfam family: Bacterial small subunit ribosomal RNA
Source: RNAcentral
GCCUUGCCACGCCCGCUCAGAAACUUAAAGGAAGUUGACGGGGGCCCGCACAAGCGGUGGAGUAUGUGGUUUAAUUCGAUGCAACGCGAAGAACCUUACCUGGUCUUGACAUCCCGGAGACCCUUAGGAAACUAGGGGGUGCUUCCAUCUGGAAGAAUCUGGAGACAGGUGCUGCAUGGCUGUCGUCAGCUCGUGUCGUGAGAUGUUGGGUUAAGUCCCGCAACGAGCGCAACCCUUGCCUUUAGUUGCCAGCAGUUCGGCUGGGCACUCUAAAGGGACUGCCGGUGUUAAACCGGAGGAAGGUGGGGAUGACGUCAAGUCCUCAUGGCCUUUAUGACCAGGGCUACACACGUACUACAAUGGCCGAUACAAAGGGCAGCGACACUGCGAGGUGAAGCCAAUCCCGUAAAAUCGGUCUCAGUCCGGAUUGGAGUCUGCAACUCGACUCCAUGAAGUUGGAAUCGCUAGUAAUCGUGGAUCAGCAUGCCACGGUGAAUACGUUCCCGGGCCUU